UGAGAAAAUGGGAGACCUUUUCACGUGC
This 28-nucleotide non-coding RNA is filed under the name Rattus norvegicus (Norway rat). The record is from RNAcentral. Lineage: Eukaryota; Metazoa; Chordata; Mammalia; Rodentia; Muridae.